GAAUUUAAUAUAAUUUUACAAAAUUUAUUAAAUAAUUUUAAUGAUAUUAUGUAGAUUUAUAUUUAGUUGGGAGGAUUAUUAAAUUAAUUUAACUUUAUUGAAUUAAAAUACAAAAAUUUUUGGAUUUAUGAUUUAAGAAUAAAUAUAAGAAUUAAUUACCUUAGGGAUAACAGCGUAAAAUUUUUAGAGAGAUCAUAUUAAUAAAAGUGUUUGC
Molecule: ribosomal RNA, 214 nt
Filed under: Gnamptogenys sp. GAL18.01
Lineage: Eukaryota; Metazoa; Arthropoda; Insecta; Hymenoptera; Formicidae
Description: partial large subunit ribosomal RNA
Source: RNAcentral